UUAUCGGUGGAUGGUAAUGGCAGAGCUCGAGUUGUGUUUUGGCCAGAACAGGAACCAUUCAUGGCAUUCAUGGUAGGCGGCAAGAAACCACGUAACAGAAUCCAUAAGCAUUGUCGUAAUAGAUCCAUCCAUCCGCUGUUACCGUCCUUGCCGAGGCGUUGGAGGAGGACCGUUAUUCUCAUUAAAGUUGAGACCCAGUUUGGACAGAACGUGUUUCUACGAGGCGGUAUAGAUCACAGUAAACGAUCAGGUUGCACCAAUCUUGCAAGUACGAGUCAGUGUGCUAUUCCAAUACGACAUCGAUCUAUGGGAACAUCGGCAGCCUAUGCGAGCUUUAACACGUGGUCUAAGGGCGACGAAUACGUAGACUGGUUCGGCAAAGAACCAAAACAAUUUGGAAGAGUUAACGGUAAAAAAGCCGAGGGUACUCCAUUAUUGUGGACUACAGACGAUGAGACAAGUGGUAGUUAUAGCUCUUUUAACACGUAUGGACCAAACUAUUGGUUACUUGAUGUCGAUAUGUUUUGCAGCAAAUCGUACAACGGUUGGUUUGAGUUUAAAGCUCUGAUUGACAACAAUUGGGAGAGUAACAUCCCAACCACACAGUGUUCCGGAACAUCCUCAUACCCAUCUUAUACCUCAUCCAAUCAUUUUGCCAGAUGUGGUUAUUUAAAUGUAUAUCAGUGGGAUCAAGGGGACUGCCUAAUUACGAAAUUGUAAAUUUGACAGCAUAAUGCAGACUAAUAAUCAUCCUAUAGGUCAUCUCGUUGUGAUGAAAAUAUCUCUAUGAAUUUGAACAUUUCAUUUCAUAGUGCAGUGAGGAAGUGACUACAUGUAUAUGAAUU
Long non-coding RNA from Patella vulgata (common limpet), 845 nucleotides. RefSeq lists it as uncharacterized. The transcript has 4 exons. The record is from RefSeq and is a predicted model, not a curated record. NCBI's taxonomy places the organism in Eukaryota, Metazoa, Mollusca, Gastropoda, Patellidae.